This 588-nucleotide ribosomal RNA is filed under the name uncultured bacterium. RNAcentral's name for it is "partial 16S ribosomal RNA". It matches the Rfam family "Bacterial small subunit ribosomal RNA", at positions 355 to 1375 of the family's 1533-position model. The record is from RNAcentral.
UGGGGAAUUUUGGACAAUGGGCGAAAGCCUGAUCCAGCAAUGCCGCGUGUGUGAAGAAGGCCUUCGGGUUGUAAAGCACUUUUGUCCGGAAAGAAAUCCUUGGCUCUAAUACAGUCGGGGGAUGACGGUACCGGAAGAAUAAGCACCGGCUAACUACGUGCCAGCAGCCGCGGUAAUACGUAGGGUGCAAGCGUUAAUCGGAAUUACUGGGCGUAAAGCGUGCGCAGGCGGUUUGCUAAGACCGAUGUGAAAUCCCCGGGCUCAACCUGGGAACUGCAUUGGUGACUGGCAGGCUAGAGUAUGGCAGAGGGGGGUAGAAUUCCACGUGUAGCAGUGAAACGCGUAGAGAUGUGGAGGAAUACCGAUGGCGAAGGCAGCCCCCGUGGGCCAAUACUGACGGCUCAUGCACGAAAGCGUGGGGAGCAAACAGGAUUAGAUACCCUGGUAGUCCACGCCCUAAACGAUGUCAACUAGUUGUUGGGGGAUUCAUUUCCUUAGUAACGUAGCUAACGCGUGAAGUUGACCGCCUGGGGAGUACGGUCGCAAGAUUAAAACUUAAAGGAAUUGACGGGGUCAUAGCUGUUUCCU